Xenopus tropicalis (tropical clawed frog) is the source of this 445-nucleotide long non-coding RNA. RefSeq lists it as uncharacterized. The record is from RefSeq and is a predicted model, not a curated record. The transcript has 2 exons. Lineage: Eukaryota; Metazoa; Chordata; Amphibia; Anura; Pipidae.
GAGCAGAGCACAGAGCAGGAAGGACACCUCUCUGUGUUAGGACUCCCAGAGGGGCUGGGGGUGCUGCCUGCCACUACCAGAAGCAGAAAGAGCCCAGAAUUGAGAAAGCUGCCAAGAGACUGAGGAUCUAAGGAGCUAAAAGGAAAGCCAGGAGGCUGAGCUAAUUCCCCAGAAGUGUUGGCUAAGUACAAAGUAAACUCACCAGGGCCACAAGAGUUGCAGCUGCACCCACAAAUGCCGCAAUGAAAAGGUGAAAUGUCAUCUGGAACUGUAAGAAAACAAGAACAGUCAUCACCUUGUAGCAAGUAUGCAAAAUCACUAAAUUCCAUAGGGUUCACAACCUGUGGGGUAGGGUUCAAGGUGCAAAAAACAAGCACAAACCGCCAUGUUUGGUUUUCACACUUUGCACAAUGAAUACAGGUUAAUAAAGAGAUGUGUGCAUUCA